AAUAAAAACAAAUUAAAACAUAACAGAAUAUGAGAGAACAAAGAUCCAGGCGAGAAUUACAUAACUCAACAAUGUUCGACCACACGGCAGAAAUUGUCCAUCUGAAAACCCGUCAGACUGUAGACAUGUUCAACUAACGGAAUAAUCCGUCCAACUGAAAAGCUGUACAAUUGCUUAUCUUUUUAUUGAUUGCCGACAAGCAACGGACAUGUCCAUUCGCUUAUUUGCUCGAGGUCUGGAUGAGUUGGGAUUAAUUUUUUUGAUUAGGACCCAGUCGAGCUUGUUUUUUCAUGAUUGUGACCGACACACAUGCCGAGCAAGGGUGGUGUCCAAUUCAAUCGCUUUCGUACAUUUACUUGUACAAAUAUUGCAUCGGAAAAGAAUGCUGGACAAAAACUCUUAGCAGCUUGUUAAAAUGUUUGCCAGGACAAGUUUCGCAGCUGAGCGAUUACUCACAAUCAAUUACAAAUUUCCUAUAAACCUCCGAAACAACUCCCCGCUGCUACGUUACUGACCAUUGCCCGCAACGGUCGGGUGCGUGUUGUUACACCCGCACGGUCAGCUAAUUUGUGGGGGCGAGUGAAAUCGUCCGCGAAUCCAGAGAAUUAAAAAUUUAUGAAAACUCGUGAGACCGUAUAAAACAGCGGUUCAACAAUGUAAAGAGAGUUGUAUGUCCAGGUUCACGUUUGUAAUCCUUAGCUCACACGCUCCUAAUUACUCUAACCUGACGGAUCGUGAAGAAUAUGAGCUCGAUUUUCAAUUGUCGUUUGAAUUCAUCCGAUAUUUUCCAGCCAAUUCGGCCGCGGUGGCCAGUCGAAUAAGAUGACAGGCGAGAUCCGGUUUGGCGUUUAGCUAGACUGGCAAUGGCUAUUUUAUCACUUUGUCAGCCAAAGUCCACAUUCGUCCAUUACUUUACCCCGUUGUUGGAAAGUAAACUCAAAAGAGGUGUCCUGCUAUUAUUUGUCAACGUUGUGUAUGUAGUGCGUAUCGAUCCGUUGAGUCGCGUUCCGAUGUUAUUCUACCCCGUUUCGGUUUCUCGUAUGUUUUGGGACAAUGGGAACCAGUUUAGGGUUGUUUAGGCUUCGGAAACAAAGCCGAGCGGGCGAAAUAUCGAAUUCACUUUUCACUUGCUGUAUAGGUGUAUUUAUACACUCGAAUUUGUUUGGCACUGUAAACUUUGAACCCGAUAAUGGAAUUUCCAUUUUCCAUCAACGCUUGAAUAUGGAUUAUUGGCAUUUUUUUUUUUUCAAGAUUUUUGAACGCAACGAAAUGCGUGCGCUCAUUUCCGCCGGUUGUAUGUGCCCGUGAAACAGAGAAAGAACCGUCACUACCGGUAUAUUUGGCUGCAAAUAUUUUUGCACACAUUUGUAAAGUAUUUAUAUCCCGCAUAAAUUUUUCGGAGGGGAAAGCUCGGUUCGGUCGAAUGCCUGGAGUUUUUCGAGCGAUAAAUUUCCUUCUUAAUCAUUUAAGUAGAUCUUGCGAAAAUUUUCACUGCGCGAAACUAUAUAGUUAUAUACAUUCAUUUGAUAAUUUCAUUUUUUUCUUUGUUUUUUUGCGACAGCUGUUUGUAAUCCCUGGGUAUUACGUCGAAACAACUGAGUUAUUUACAGGUGUAGUUAGCAAUAUUAUUAUACAUGAUAUUAUUCGGUUUGAUACUGGCCCUACUUAUUAUUCAUCGCACUCGUUCGUUAAACUGUCAAAAUAAAGUAAUCGGUGCUUUCGGGUUCUACAAAAUUUAUAGCAAGUAACGGAAAGAAAAAGGGAAAUGCGAAAACAAGAUAAAGAUUCGUCAGGCAAAUUAAUGAGAAUAUGGACGCAAUAACACCUUAAACCUUGUUAAGUCUUGCACCAUCCAGCUGAAGGAGAAAUUUCACGAUCUUAUUUUUUUAUUAUUCUCAUUUUGGAAGUUUCAAAUGAACUUCAGUGCAUGCCGUACGCACGUACGACAUAGGCACAUAAUCCAAUGAAAGUAAGUGAUAGUAUUUCGUUUGAAUCUUUCAAAGUAAUGGAUUGCAGUGUGCUUAAGUGCCUGGAAUCUCAAUUCACAGGAACUGAAGUACUUUUACAUUAUAAAAACUUUUAUACGAGUCAAGAAGAAAGAACUAGUAGAAGAUGUGAUAUAAGAAAGAUGGGGUCGUAAAAUAAUCUCUGAAACUUAGUUGAAUUAAUGUGAAUUUAUUUGAUUAUCUCACUGACUAUAUUGUAGUACAGGCUAGAUUUUUAUCGGGAAUAUUCUCAGACCAUAUUUACAUAUGGGGCUGAGUUGUCUAUUCCGAUAGUUUUUUUAACUUACGAAUGCAGGUAAAUUCAGAAAUUUGCACAUGGUAUCCUCGUCCCUGAAAUUCGUAUACAUUAUCGGUAAAAAUUCGAUGCACACAAUUAAAUUUUUAGACCGUAUGUCUUUCAUCUGAAAAAUGAAAUUAAAUUCUUUGCUAAGACCAUUCGACCUUGCUAAUGGAAGCAACUCAUAUUCAAAUGUGUUUGUACACCCUUUACCUAAUGUACUGCGUGAAAGCUCUGGCUUUAAAUAAAUGGUUUAUAAGGUUUUUGAAAAAUUUCGUAGUGGGCACUUGCAGUAAAAGCAUCGAUAAAGUAGAUUUAAAGUUACGAAACACCCGAGUGUACGCGGUUGAAGUAAUAGAGUUCAUCGCGUAGCAGUUAAAAAUUAACGUAAAAUCGUACCCCAAGUGAGGCCGUAGAACGACAUAACAUCAGGAGACUCUCGAAAUUUUAAAAGCGAUAUCGAGAUCAACGGUAGUCGUAUAACUUUGUCACUUUUUUCGCCCAUAUUGUGUAGUAGGUAUAGGUGCUGCAUUUGCCUGUAAAAAAUGAUAGAAUUUCGUGUUUCAAUAUCGACGAAACAAAUUCAGAAGAUUAGGGCGCGAUUAUCAAUAUAUUAUACUUUCAUAACUGAUGAUGAUUAAUCACCUGAUUGACAAGUCAUCAUUCAUUCAAUAAUCACAUCGUACACAUUAUACAUUCCAUGGAAAAUUAAUGACCGCUCUCGGAUUAUUUAUUAUAAAAUAUGUGUAACACAUUAUUAUUCUUAUCGAUCGACACACACGUUAAUCCCUCAUAAGUUUCAUACCUCCAGUUUCGAACUUUAACAUUCUCUGUCUUCUAUAGUUGAGCAGAUUUUUUUUCGUCGAUCCUAAUCUCAUAGAUUAUAAAAUGGAAAAGAGGUAGACUGUUCGCAAUUCAAAUUCUAUUAUAAUUUUACCGAUUUUCAUAGCAGUGAAGUAGUAUGCGCAGUGCGUCGGCUCCGCAGUCUGGGAAUACUAUAGGGCAUAACUCGUAGAAAAGUGAAGAUUGGACAGCUGGUUGAAAAAAAUGUUCGAGGUUCAGAUUAUAUUUUUUAUUCAAAUUUGGUAACUUGUUACGGAAAACUGGCGUAUCUGUUUAAAUUUCAUCUUCGUGUUCACUUUUCAGAGAUAGCUUUCAUGGUAUCUUUGUGAUCCGCACUUGUUUCGCACCUGUUUUCCCUGCUCGAGAGAUCCUUUAUCUAUGAAUAGGUGUGUUCCCUGAUUUUCGUUCCCUGUAUCAGAUUAUCAUAUUGAAUCUUGUCAUCGAAUCGAGUUACCUUUCUCCCAGUUCGACUAAUCGUAUCUUUCCGAGACAUCGAAUUUAUACGUUCAGCGUUACAUCCCUUUGCUGGAUAACCGGAUCACAUAUUCGGUAUAGGAUACUUGAAAAAUAAGUUCCUUUAACCGGGGCUUAUUUUUUGCAUCAACGCAGCAACGAGAAUACAAAAAUUCAGAUCACUUGUCGCGAGCGUAUGUUAUACAUGAAAAUUCAAAGGCUUCGGGGAAUCUCUUAGGAUCGAGCUUGAGUUCGUACAUAUUUUAUUCAUUUAUUCGAAGACGUUUUAACUGUUGGAAGAAAUGAAAUAUGAAAAUGAAUCAAGUGAAGGCCGCCCUGAUAUACUGUACACAACCUUGGGGCCUUCCACGCAAAAUCGACAUGGGUGUAAUCGUAAUUUUUUUUUUUCGAAUCAUUUAACAGUUGGUAACUGUUGAAAGUGUUCGUUUUAUAUAGGGGUAUUAAUCGUUUCUUAUUUUUAUCUAAACUGCAGGCAUCGUAAAUUCUUUGUUGAGAACAUUUUUUUCUACCCUUGUCAAAUCACGUACUACGAUCAUCUUUUCUCAUUCCAAGCGACUGCCAAAUCGUUACACGAUAUCCACUGAAUUAUACCUAUCAAUGAUUCAUCAGAUGUAAUGAUCAUGAUGGAUCGUCCACAUAAAAUGACACAAUUGACAAGUAGCGGCCAAUUUAAAAUCAAGAGGGCGACAAAUCAGGGAGUAAAUUAAAUGGCCUCAUUUAAAGGGGUAACGUCAUAACAUUAAUCUCACGUGAAUGUUAUCUUCCUCCGGUUUAACAUUUGAAAUUACGUUAGCGAGGUGGAGUAAAUCAAAAUUUCAGUUGUUAACCUUCGUAACACUUAUUAUAGUAUACUUACUGCAAAAGUAGAUUUAUUUUAAAACGUAAUAUGAAAUAUUGUUCCAGACGUUUUUACGUUACGUCUUAUUGUGUAUUUUUGGUUUAAACAGCAAGAGGUAUCUCGUUUUGCUGAUAUACGCUGAUAUUACUUUUAAUCGCACGGAGCAGCGGUAUACGCCAUGGCAUUUAUGAUGAGCCAUAAAAUUUGUUGCUAGCUCUUAUUCUACGUUACAGGGAAUUCUAUGCCAAAUCACGUAGACUGCAACUUUGACUAUUUUUCGUUCAUUUACAUCACGUCAGUUUUUCGAUUUACAUUAUAGUCUUUUUAAUCCCAAACUACAGAGGAAAAAUUUGAGACUGUGGUAUCAAUUGAAUGGAAACGGAACUCGAAUUCCGUUUCAUUUCAAUCUUUCAGAGAUCCAUAAACACCAGAGUGAAAACUUUCAGAGAUGCAGUUAUUUUCGUACUUUUAUUUUGCUACAUACGCCUUUGUUGUAUAUUCCCAAGGUGAAGGGUGUCGCCUCAUAUACACAUACGCCCCUAUGUCAUUAGGCGAGCAAAGCGAGCCUCUACUGGGUUAAAAUGCCACUUUUUGUGAUACACUUUACAAAAAACCUCAAAACUUUUGGACGUUAACUUAAUGUAAUUAUUCAUAUUUAUUUCUAGAUGUGUUAUCAAUCAUUAUUUUCGGAGAAAACGAUGCAAAUAGAUAAAAUAGUAUUUUUGUAAUUGAAAUGUACGUAGAAGUAUAUCUAUAUAUACAGCGGAAGUAACGCCAUCUGUAGGCGUCAUCAAGUAGCUUGUAGUCGUGAAAUAUACAGAUGCACAACAAUUUUUUUGUUAACGGGUGGUUGGAUUGUAUUUAAAAAUCCACCCUAAGACGCCUCGGGUAUUAGAAGCACAUUUUCAUUCAUAAAUCACUGCGGCCCUGUGUCAUUAGGCAAGCAAAGCGAGUCUCUACUGGGUUAAAAUACACAUACGCCCCUAUGUCAUUAGGCGAGCAAAGCGAGCCUCUACUGGGUUAAAAUACACAUACGCCCCUAUGUCAUUAGGCGAGCAAAGCGAGCCUCUACUGGGUUAAAAUGCCACUUUUUGUGAUACACUUUACAAAAAACCUCAAAACUUUCGGACGUUAACUUAACGUAAUUAUUCCUAUUUAUUUCUAGAUGUGUUAUCAAUCAUUAUUUUUGGAAAAAACGAUGCAAAUAGAUAAAAUAGUAUUUUUGUAAUUGAAAUGUACGUAUAAGUGUAUCUAUAUAUACAGCGGUAGUGACGCCAUCUGUAGGUGUCAUCAAGUAGCUUGUAGUCGUGAAAUAUACAGAUGUACAUACAACAAAUGUUUUUAAUAACGGGUGGUCGGAUUGUAUUUAAAAAUGCAUCUUAAGACGCCUCAGGUAUUAAAAGCAUAUUUGUAUCCAUAAAUCACAAGGUUUAACCUUAGAAAUAGCUGUUGUUGAUAUUGGAGAUCAAGAAACUUCCGUUGGUUCGACAUGUGUUGCUCUAUCAAGAGUCCAAACUUUAGAAGGUUCAGCAAUCAAUUAGAAAUUUUCUGUAUAACAGAUUUACAAGUAUACAAAAGCUCGCACAAUAUGUUGAUGUGUCGAAAACAGGAGGAAUGUCGAAUGAAGAAUUAUUUUUUUGGAUAGUAAAUAUUUUUCAACAACUGAAGCAUAUUUCAAUUUUAGGGAGAUGCAUUUCAAAUAACACAAUUCGCGACCCACUACAAAGUUGUACUUUCAGCUAGUUAUACAUACAUAGAGGUGCGAUUUAAUAAAAGGAAGCUCAAGGAAGCGAAGGUUUAAAAAGUAAAAGAUACAGUUUCGUUGGGAGGGUGCAGAUUCUUUGCGAAUCAUUAAUCAACAGCGAGUUGAGGCUGAUUUGGAUUCUGUCAAAUGCAGGUCUUUCGGAGCGAAAUGAAGUAAAAAAGUGAGAGGACUGAUUAUUUCCCCCAUUACUAACAUAAAUUAAAAACUCAUACAGUUAGAAUUAUUACACAGAAAUAUCAGAACGGAUAACGAGUGAGAACGACGAAAAUUCAAUGCUACGAAUGAUUUUAACGGCGAGAACGUUGAUUGAUUCGGCAAAACAGGCGUGUGAGUCGUUGAAAGAUUAAACAGCGUUGAAAAUAUUACAUUUGAUAGGACCAUUGAACAUGAGGUUACAAAAAUGUGGUAAUAGAAUUCGAUCUGAUACAAUUACGGUGAAAUUGGUUUUCUGGUCCUCUUGAAUAACAAUUUUAACGUUUGCUAAUAAUAAUAGCCGAUACAAAGCUACCGUUAUACACAAGAAAAUAAAUAAUAACGUUCAACGUUCAACAUAGAAAUAAAUACAUAAAUGAAACGAGUGGGUACAAGGCAAAAAAAAGAAAAAUGAUAAAAUGUGGAGCGAACGAAAGUGACGAUAAAAUGAUGACGUAUGAAUGAAAUCUCAAUCUUCAAUCAAUGUAUAUUAUCUGAUUAUUCGGCUGACACAUCUCAUUGUCAGUUAGUGUGUACAACAAUGUUCGGUGACAUCUCAGGUGGCGUCUUCUUCCCCCACCCUAUUUAUUUUGAACUUCGACGGUUUUAAUCGCGGUCGUAGGUCAAACGUGUAUUACAAAGCUACAUGUGAAACUUAACACACGUGGCCCCCGCAACAUCGUUAUCAUCACCAUCUGGAAGCUGCUGAAUUCGCCGGAGCCUAGUUAUUUUUUUCCAUUCGAGAAGUAUAUGCGGUGAGGAUAAAAAAUAACUUUGCACCCUUAAUACAUUUCGGCACGUGCAGGAUUCUUUCCCAUAAUUUUCGAUCCCAAGUAAAAAUGGAGCCAGUUUAUCAUCGUUCUUUCGUAUUAGGUAUACUCACAUUAUCAGGUCUGAAAAACCGCGCAGUGCACUCUAUUUUUUAGGCAUGAUGAAAUGUUGUCCAGAGGCAUAAAAUUAGUUUUAUCUCUAGGUAAGCGCAAAAGUCAUUUCUCCAGGGCCUAGGGUAUUAUUGGGUCGAUCCAUCAUUCCAGACAACCUUUAUACAAACCAAAAAAACUGAACUGGAAGUGGAAUAAAAAAAAUAUUAAGAAUAAUAUUUAAGAAAUGGAGAAAAAAAAAUAAACAGAGAACUUUUCCAGACGCGAUAAUUUGUUAACAAAAUCCAGGUGUCAUAUCUGUAUAUCGGCGUAGGGUUGCCAGGAUAUUUUCUUCUUUGUUAAAUAAUAAAAAAAAAGACCAAGGCCAAGCCGGUCUCGCCUUUGGGAGACACUCAUUUGUCAAGUGUCUGAUGUCCCAGCGUGAAGUUCAAACUCCCAACGCUCCUAAGAACUGAAGAAUAUACAGAGCUCUGAGCAGAGAAUACCAUGAGAGCACUGCUCAUUCACUCCCUGUUUGAAUAACAAAUAAAGCCGCUCAUCCCCAGCUGACGACAAAAAGAUAUUCUUGGAACAACAAUGAGAACUGAUUCGGUAAUUGUUUCUGGCGUCGGUAGUCGUUAAUUGCUUUCAAUGGCACGGGUUUUAAUUCUCAAGCAAUAUUAUGCAGUGAACUGGGGUCAUUUUGCGCGAGAAGGUCGGUAAUGGUCGGCCAUUAUCCUUAUUAAUAAUAUUAUUAUUGUGAUUAUUAUUGUUGUUGCUACCGGCGUGAGGCGCAGGGCGAUACUCCGAUGCAGGGAGGUACCCCAGGUUUCCCUGAGCCAAGGAGGAGACCGGGGCUACGAGUGGUACGUACAACUUCAGACGGAUGCAUGAGGUAUAACGAUACUCGGACAGACAGUCCUGGAAGACCAAGAGGAGCUUGAGCAUUUCUGAAAAUGUCGUGAUUCGAGCGCAUCAUGUACAGUAUUUGCGCGUACAAACGUAACGUCGACUAAUUCGGCGUCUACAAAACUCAGGGUGUACCAGAUUCGCAUGUGUUAAUGUCCACGAACGCAGUUCAGACGUGUACAAUCGGACCUUUUCCUACCCGUCGACCUCAAACUAUUACCCAAAGCUCUUUUUAUUCGGGAAGAUUAAAGUGUUUCGUUAGGCUCCAAAUGUAUAGUAGCGUGUGUUGGGUUGAGGUCGGCUGCCUCAAAAUCUGGGGCAAAGGGUGUUAUCAGAGGAGGGACGAACUCCUGAUGGCUUCAGUAAUUUCGUGGAGUUUUCGGCUUCGAAUAACUAUGUAGCGACCCGGAUGUGACGACGGUUCUGACCCGACGCUACUUUUUCUUGGUUAUUUCAUUUGUUUUUACGGUUCAAAUGACGUCGCACGGUUCAGCGAUCUGGGAUGAGAAUGAUACGUGCGAAUCUCCGGAUUUUAUAUGGAACCUUCGAGGCAUAAAGAAAAUUGAAAACCUCUAAUAUCCAAACUUUUGGUUCCGGGAUGUUCUAUUAAUACAUCCUUGUACAUCGACGAUGAUCAGCUGGUUCGGGUUUCACUUGGAAAACCAACGAUUUCGAAUGAUGCUAACAUAUGAGUUAUCGAACGAACAAUAUCGCUCCAAUUGUACGUGGCUAUUUCAUUCAAUUACCGCGAAAUGGCCGACGCGGAUUGGCCACCGCGAAAUCUGCCUAUAGUGGUAUGCAUGAGAUGGACAGUUCAUUGUGACGUCGAGCGACCACUACUUCUUUUUGUUCCUCUACCGCAUACUCGGGAAUUUUUCGAUUUGAUAUUCGUUUGAUCAUUCAUCGUUUCUUUUUUCAUAACUGGCUGAUUGUGGGUUGCAAUGAAGCAGUUUACACAAAACGCAGACAGAUUGGAAAACUAUAGCGACUCGAGCUAAAUUCGAUUUUUUCUUAGUUUUUGAAGCAGAACCAGAAAUUACCGGUUCUUCCACAUGCACGGUCGUCAAAGGAUGUGUGUAAAUAUCUGAUUGAAAUUUUAUCUAUCUCUAGUCAGAGUCUUUUUUCUACGGGAUGGACGCGCGGUGCGCAAAAAACUGAAUGAGUCUUGAAAACUGAAGAAAGUUUCGCGGGGUAAACUUGGAGGUAGAAGACCUAUAGCCCUCGACCUCCUCUACACGUAUAAGUUAUAGCUUUAUAACUUGAGGUAACCGAAGCUGGAAAGUAUGCGAUAAAGUAGCUUUGCUUGUACCAUAUACACCGUAUACCAUAUCACGCUGGCGAAACCUCUGCACGAGCGCAUAUUCGAACUGGUUCCAGGAGAUUGAAAAUUGUCGGUGAAACCUUUACGAGUCAAGUAUGAAAAGUUGCCGGAAAGUUUAUCGAGGAAGAAUUGAGGCGAUGUAGAGGGUGGGACGACGUCGUUUUUUCCAUCCGAGCAUCAACCUGCCGCCGCUGCAUCGCUGUCUACAAUCGACUGUGGUUUACUAGGAUCCUCGUAAGAUAGAAUACAAGUGUCACCUUCUCGUAGGUUCGAGAACCCGGUGCAAACACACCAUAAACGCGUUAUUUACUCAACUAAUAGUCCCUUCAUAGUCCUUCCAUAUACCUAGUCCCGGUUCAAUCCUCAGGGGUGCCUACAUGCUAGGACCAAAUCUGUAACUCCUCUCAUCCACGGGAGUUCAUCCGGAUUAUCAUAUAUUGAAAUCCGUUAGGGUUUUAACACCAUCAAAACUCCAAGUAUUGCCAACAGAGUUGACAGUAAUCCGGAUUCAUCCGUUUUUUCUUGCCGAACAAAAUAUGAUUCGGUCUCAAAAUACGGACCGUGUACGUAAUACAUUUUACACAAGGCCGCGGUAGUUUCACGAGCAUUUUUUCUUAAAAUCACGUUUUACUAUUUUACAAGUGAUUCGUUCAUUCAUUCGUCUUUUUACGUAUAUUAAAUAAAUACGUUAGACGCGAGGACUAAAUAUUAUUUACUUAUUUACGAAUUUUAUUGAACUUCGUCUGCAUGUGACACUCCGGAAUAAGCAACGAAGAUACCAUUGAAAUUCCGUGACGAUUGGUUGAAUAGUUUUUGAGAUUUUCGCGAAUAUACAUCAUAGGUUUCCUCUAUACAGGUAUAACAGUUAGGUGAGAAGUACAGAUAUACCUACCCCUUCGCGUGAUUUUGAACAAACAACAAUUACCUAUACGUCGUGGAAACAAGGGUCAGAAUUCGAGCGAGUAUGACGUGUGCAUCGAUACCUACGCGUAAUCAAAUAGGCGAUAGAACGAAUCUACGUGUCGCCUAGCGGAGCGAAGGAGGGGUGAGGUGGUGGUGGUGGUGGUGGUGAACUUGAUGAAUUAAUCGGUGCUUACACGCGGAGAGAUGCGUUAAUUUUUUUCAUUCCACGUCUUUGGGGUAGAAGAAGGAAAGGGUAAAAGUGGUCGCGUCUUUCUCUUUCAACCCUUCGUGUAUUAUACCUGUAUAUUUAUGCGCGUGGUUAUAUCCUUGCGAACCAAGCAACGUAAUUAUUCCAUGCCGGUACGAUAAGCAAAGAUAAGUAACCGCAAUCUAAAUUUGAAAUUGCCUAACCAAACGCGUUAACCCCUAAUUCGGAAAGUCUUCAUUUCUUGCAGGGGGCGUACAUCAGCAAAAAGGGGUAAGUUUUCUUCGUGAAUUCUCAAAAAUAUCUGGAACGUUAUACUUAAUUACGGCCACAGGAUUUAUACGUAUAUACGCCGCUCUGGUCUCCUGAUUUCUGAAUUUUCAACUCAUACUUUUCUUACUACCAGAGCGUGCAUUGAUAACAAGUAUCACAGACGAAACGCUUGAGGGACUCAGAAAAAAUACGGAAAUGAAGCCGAAUUCAUCCGAACAAUCUUGAAACAGUCAAUUGCGAACGUGUAGUUCGGUAUUCGGUCAUCGGAUAAUCUCGUACGUAGAUCCUUCUUUUCCGAAGCAGCGGCAGUAUGGUCGCAACAGCCGAAGGGACAUCGUCAGGAGCGACGUCGAUGGCAGCGCGUAGAAGAGAGGAAGAGAAAAAUACAUUGGGAUUUAUUCUUGACAGAUGUCAAAGUUGCCCAGUUCUUCGCAUUAUGGUUCAACUUUCAACUACUGUCCCUACGUUGUGCUGAAAAAUUCCUAUAAGGUACUUGGGGAUGCUGCCGCCGUAGCUGCCGUUUGCCCGGACUCCCCCUGUUCAUCAGGGGGAGU
Molecule: long non-coding RNA, 11420 nt
Organism: Athalia rosae (coleseed sawfly)
Lineage: Eukaryota; Metazoa; Arthropoda; Insecta; Hymenoptera; Athaliidae
Exons: 3
Source: RefSeq, a predicted model, not a curated record